This 253-nucleotide ribosomal RNA is filed under the name uncultured bacterium. Its description in RNAcentral is "partial 16S ribosomal RNA". It matches the Rfam family "Bacterial small subunit ribosomal RNA", at positions 524 to 776 of the family's 1533-position model. The record is from RNAcentral.
UACGUAGGUGGCGAGCGUUAUCCGGAUUUAUUGGGCGUAAAGGGAACGCAGGCGGUCUUUUAAGUCUGAUGUGAAAGCCUUCGGCUUAACCGGAGUGGUGCAUUGGAAACUGGGAGACUUGAGUGCAGAAGAGGAGAGUGGAACUCCAUGUGUAGCGGUGAAAUGCGUAGAUAUAUGGAAGAACACCAGUGGCGAAAGCGGCUCUCUGGUCUGUAACUGACGCUGAGGUUCGAAAGCGUGGGUAGCAAACAGG